This 107-nucleotide small nuclear RNA is filed under the name Neotoma lepida (desert woodrat). Lineage: Eukaryota; Metazoa; Chordata; Mammalia; Rodentia; Cricetidae. The record is from RNAcentral.
GUGCUCGCUUUAGCAGCACGUAUACUAAAAUUGGAACGAUACAUAGAAGAUUAGCAUGGCCCCUGUGCAAGGAUGACACGCAAAUUCAUGAAGCAUUCCAUAUUUAA